Heterocephalus glaber (naked mole-rat) is the source of this 633-nucleotide long non-coding RNA. The record is from Ensembl. Lineage: Eukaryota; Metazoa; Chordata; Mammalia; Rodentia; Bathyergidae.
CUUCAAAAGAUCUCCAGGUGCUUCUCUUCUCUACAAGCCAGUGCUAAAGAUAUAGCAUCCCGUCUGGCCUUUAAUGGGCACUCCAUGUUUGGUCAGCCAGAAUGUUCUAGAAAAAGGAGGGCAGCUGGUAAUCCAAUAACAGCUGCUAUGAUUGGCCCCAAGCCUCAGCUUACCUUUGGCUGGAAGAUUGAUUCUGUGGCCCUCCUGAUUGAAGCAGGACAUGUGCCAGGCCUCACUCCCGUUGUGGUACCCAGACUCUGCCCACCAGCUGUGCUUCACCUGCCUGCGGAGGGCUGUUCCUGCUUGCCUAGUGAUGUGGACCAGCUCUGGUUUGGCCAACUCUACAGCUUCUCCACCAGGAAAAAAAGACCAUGUGUGCCAUAGGUUCACCACCACUGCCUUAGCCGGUGACUAGCAGGGCUAGGUGAGUAAAUACCCCAGCUCCUUAGCCCUUGCCUGGCAGAUUUUCGCAUGGAUGCCUGAACUUCCUGCAAAAUGAAGCCCACCAUGCUAGUCAGCUUCGGAAUAACCUGUACUGGCGGCUCCUUCCCUGCCACCUUCCCACUGUCCUGACGGGUUCCUGAAAGUCCAAACAAUCUGUAUGUGCUCAGUCAGACUCAGCAUCUGCUUCUG